Long non-coding RNA from Ailuropoda melanoleuca (giant panda), 3344 nucleotides. RefSeq lists it as uncharacterized. The record is from RefSeq and is a predicted model, not a curated record. Lineage: Eukaryota; Metazoa; Chordata; Mammalia; Carnivora; Ursidae. The transcript has 4 exons.
UUUUCAUUGGUGACCCGAUCGGAUAUUCCCAUCCCACAUGUUUUGGAGCAAGGGGUCCACUUCGUUGCUUGCACAAGACAUUUUCUUUUCCAAAUAAGUGGGAGAUUCCUUGUUAUUACAGUAGGAUCUUGCAACUGCACAAGAAACAGAGAGAGAGGAAGCAGAAACAUGAAGAUACCUGGAAGGUAGACAACAGUUUAAAGACCUCAAUGCAGGAAGCAGAUUAAAAGCCCAGCACGCAUCUGCAAUAAAUAAAGCAAAGCACUAACCACUAAGAAUGACCAUCUAACACGCCCUCCAACAAGGUUUCAAGUGAAUCCUCUUGGAACUGCUCUACCGCCACAAAGGAGACCGACUGAACUUGAUCCAAAGAGCUUUGCUUGUGGAAACUGCUGGGCUAAGGUAUUUUUUCACCUGCGAGGUUCAUGCAUGGGUCCCAAGAACUCACACUGAGUCCCUCAGAUCCAAUGCAGAAAAUCAACUGUUCCUGUACAUUUUGAAAAAAGAACAGUUUGGCUUAAAAUUUUAAAGAUCUUAGAGCAUCCGUAGUGUCCUGCUAUUAGCUGAAUGCCAUAAAGUAUGGUAAAUGCAAACUCGCCACAACCUGUUAAAUUAUUUUCAAAUUAAUUGGCAUAAUGGAGGUCUCUGAGAAAGCUUCUUUCAGAGUUAGUUUUUAAAAUAUCUAAAACAUUUCUCUGAUGAUAGUUGCUUUUAUUAAAUAUCCACAUAAUACAAGUGAACUUUGGAGUUUUUAGCGUAGAUAAAUAUCCCUUCUCUAUCUCCAUGGCACCUUUAGUUUCCUAAGCUCUAAAUUUUGAUAAAAAGGCAUUCUUGAUUUCUGGUUGAAAACACAGAUGUGAAUAGUAACCAGGCAUGAACACUAACCCUUUUGAGUCCUUUCUCAUCUGUGCUUCAUUGAUUGGUGUUUUUGAAACUCCUGUCCCCAAAAUGCCCUGGCGCUUAAAUAAGAUAUUAACUUCGAGCUGACCAGAAUACAACCUUUAUGAUCAGGUGCUCAAGGUGUGACACAGAGCCUCAUUACAGGUCUCUGACUACUCACAUAUCUGGAGAACCUUCUUAAAAACACCUGUACGUGUGUUGCUUUAGAGAGAGGUUGGUGACUGGAGAGCUUCAUUUCCAGAGUAAAUGAAAAGAUAAUCUUAUGUCAGCCAUUUUCUAUUUUUAGAAACAAUAUUUACAAAUGCUAAACAUAUUCUUCAAUAUUUUUAAUCAGUGGGCUUCCAUUUCUGCUUUCAUCGUAUAACAAAUUUGCCUUUGAAAAUUUUGGGGACUGGAUGGUUCGCACUUCUUGCCCAUAAUAAAACAAGAAAAGUUUUUCUCAGGGUACAUGUGAACAAUAUUUGGUCAACUUUCCUGAGAAGAGGUUGAGUGUAAAUGAGCAGAGGCAUAGGAGAGUUUUUCUGACCCAGCAGAGCUUUUAAAAACUGGAAAGUUUUACUGGAAAAAUCUAAAACAUUAUGACAUUUCCUUUUGAGAUACUUAGAAUGUACCUCUCUGAGGCAGACUGAGCAAUGGCACUGCCAAACUAAAUCUCACAUUGACCACUAAUCAGGAAGCGCUUACUGAGUACCUAUGGUACAUCAAAGGAACAUGAAAGAAAACCACAAGACGCCACACAUGAAAAAUAAAUAUGCUUCUAAGCACCUGGCAUUGUUUUGUAGCUUGUUGAAAGCUGCUGUUGGAAUGGUUCCAGGCCACAGUUGGAUUGAUCAGACUUCUUUCUACCUUUAGCCGUAGAGCAGCGACUGUCAGCCAGCUUUGGUAUGAACAGAGGUGUGCAUCCAAUGGCCCCACUCACACAGAGGCAGCUAAACAGGGGGUUGGGCUGAAAGACUUGGCCAUUACGAUAAUGUACCCUGUUGAACUCGCAUCCCACAGCUAGAAGGUCUGAAAAGAAAGAAGAGCAAAAUCACCAACAAAGCCAUAACUGAUAGUCCACACCUGACAUGAUAAACACAGAGAGAAUUGGAGGAAACUUUCACUCCUCUGAGAGGCAUUCUGGACCUGGAUCAACAGUUCUCAAAAGCAUGACCCCUCGGAACUUGGCAACACUGAGACCCUUGCAAGAAAAUCUGCAAGGUCAAAACUCUUUUUCGGAAUACUAAGAUGUGCCUGGCUGUUUUCACUGUGUUGCUAUUUACACUGAAGAUACAAAAGCAGUGGUGACUAGAGCUGCUGCUGGAACCUUAGCAUGAAGCAGACUGUUCAGGGUAGUCACUGCAUUUUUGCCUUGCCACUGCACUUGUCCAUAAAUGCACUUUUUUUGGGGGGAAGCUAGUUUUACUUAAUAAUGUCCUGACAGUACAGCAAAAAUUAUUAACUUUAUCAAAUAUAUGUCUUUUUAAUAUCCUUUGUGAUAAAAUAGGAAGUAUCCUUAGAGCAUUUCUAUACAUAUUAUAUCAUCUUGAGGAGAAGCACCUAUUCUAUAUGAGUUUUGGGCUGAACCAACCACUUUUUUAGUAGGAAUUUCACCUGAAGAAAUUCACUGACAGGUAAACCAUGAUAACUCAGGUAUUUGGCAGACAUUUCCUUGAAAAUCAACAGUGAGUCUGUCACUUCAAGGAAAACAACUUUCAGGCCAAUGACAGAAUUCAGGCUUUCAAGCAAAAAAUAGAAUUUUGGAAAAUCUGUAUCCACCACUGAGAUCUUUAUAGCUACCCAAUAUACAGACUUUUCUGAUGAGAUUAGUAUUAAUUAAUGUGAUUUUUAAAAAUAUUGUAUAAUUAAGUGUAUCAAUAUUUGGAACAUCUACAUAACCAUUGUUCCAAACUAGCAUUUUCCAAAUAGCCAAUGCAUGGUAUUACAAAAUUAUGCAUAAGUAAAAAACCCAUUCCAAGGAGGUCUUGGAUAGGCCAUUUUAUUGUCAGAGUUUGACAAGUUCAUUGAUAUGGUUUCAGAUUCCAUGAUGCAGCUAAUUUUCAAGAAACUACCACUUCUCAAGUUUUAAUGUAAUAUCAAAAAGAAUAUUCACAAUUAUCUUAAAAUUCUGUUAAAAUAUUCCUGCCUUUUCCAAUGAUCUAUCUGUGUCAGGCUGGAUUCCCUUCAUAGAUUUCAACCAAAAUAACAUACAGGAAUAGACUGAUAGCAGAAGCAGAUAAGGAAAUCUAACUAUCUUCCAUUAAGCUGGACAUUAGAGAGAGGUGCAAAAAAUGUAAACCUGUUCCAUUCUUCUCACUAGUUUUUCUUUGUUUUAGAAAAUAAAAUAUUAUUUUGUAAAUAUAUUAUUCCCAGCAAGUUGCAAUGGGUUUCCUAUUUUUAAAUAAAUUAGUAUUUUUAAAUUUCUAAUCCAUUUAAAUACCAGUAGAGAAAACCUACAUAAACAA